This 662-nucleotide long non-coding RNA is filed under the name Equus caballus (horse). RNAcentral's name for it is "lncRNA (ENSECAG00000054144.1)". Lineage: Eukaryota; Metazoa; Chordata; Mammalia; Perissodactyla; Equidae. The record is from RNAcentral.
CUGGAUGGAGUACGCUGGAAGAGAGGCACCUCAGGGGGCUUUUCUGGCUGAGCACAGCAUCCUGACCGGAGAGGGAACAGAAGACUUUCACCUCCUGGCCUCACAGACAGAGUCCACCAACCUGCCUGCCUUGCCAAGCCUCCGCCUGCCUUUCCCAGUCAUCCCACUCUUCAAGCCCACCUCUUUCAGGAAGCCCUCCAUGCCCAUCACAACAGGUCAUGGCAGCUUCGAGGUUUUCACGAGUCCUGCAAGGUCUCAACGUCCCAUUGGGAAGCCUGGCCUGAUGCCCAGGGGCCUGGGCUCCCACCACCCGCUCUGACUCCCUGGGCCUUCCGUAAAUGCCGUGUUGAGCCUCUCCAACCACUCCUGUAGCCAUAUGUUCAUGAUCCUCCUCAGAGCAGAUUAAGACUUCAGAGGCCUCUGAGCACCGGAAGCAUUUGCUGCCCUCCUCACAAGACACACUAUCAGAUACAAGUAUCAGGACAUCUGGCAAAGUUCUGGUUUUCCCCUGAUGCAUUGUGCUUUGUUUGAAGUAUUAAAUUGAUUUUUAAAUGUAUGUUUUGCUCAUUUAGAGGGGAUGCCCCUGCUUUGCUGGCAGCCCCAGUACGUGCCGGGUCUUCCUGACAUCACCGUGCGGCUAUAACUCUUAGCUUAGGGUAAUU